RNAcentral lists this ribosomal RNA (462 nucleotides) under uncultured bacterium. RNAcentral describes it as "SSU rRNA". It matches the Rfam family "Bacterial small subunit ribosomal RNA", at positions 26 to 523 of the family's 1533-position model. The record is from RNAcentral.
AGGAUGAACGCUGGCGGCGUGCCUAAUACAUGCAAGUCGAGCGGUAAGGCCACUUCGGUGGUACACGAGCGGCGGACGGCUGAGUAACACGUAGGAACGUACCCCAAACUGAGGGAUAAGCACCAGAAAUGGUGUCUAAUACCGCAUGUGCUCUUCGGAGUAAAGCUACGGCGGUUUGGGAACGGCCUGCGCAAGAUUAGCUUGUUGGUGAGGUAAUAGCUCACCAAGGCGACGAUCUUUAGCUGGUCUGAGAGGAUGACCAGCCAGACUGGAACUGAGAACGGUCCAGACUCCUACGGGAGGCAGCAGUAGGGAAUUUUCCACAAUGGACGAAAGUCUGAUGGAGCAACGCCGCGUGCAGGAUGAAGGCCCUCGGGUCGUAAACUGCUUUUAUAUGUGACGAUAAUGACGGUAGCAUAUAGAAUAAGGAUCGGCUAACGUCCGUGCCAGCAGCCGCGGUAA